This 345-nucleotide unclassified non-coding RNA is filed under the name soil metagenome. RNAcentral's name for it is "partial contains 5.8S ribosomal RNA, internal transcribed spacer 2, and large subunit ribosomal RNA". The stretch from base 1 to 119 matches the Rfam family "5.8S ribosomal RNA", at positions 35 to 154 of the family's 154-position model. The record is from RNAcentral.
GAUGAAGAACGUAGUGAAAUGCGAUACGUAAUGUGAAUUGCAAAUUCAGUGAAUCAUCGAGUCUUUGAACGCACAUUGCGCCCCCUGGUAUUCCGGGGGGCAUGCCUGUCCGAGCGUCAUUGCUGCCCUCAAGCACGGCUUGUGUGUUGGGCCCCGUCCUCCGAUCCCGGGGGACGGGCCCGAAAGGCAGCGGCGGCACCGCGUCCGGUCCUCGAGCGUAUGGGGCUUUGUCACCCGCUCUGUAGGUCCGGCCGGCGCUUGCCGAUCAACCCAAAUUUUUAUCCAGGUUGACCUCGGAUCAGGUAGGGAUACCCGCUGAACUUAAGCAUAUCAAUAAGCGGAGGA